Molecule: ribosomal RNA, 373 nt
Filed under: uncultured organism
Description: partial 16S ribosomal RNA
Rfam family: Bacterial small subunit ribosomal RNA
Source: RNAcentral
GUAGGUGGCAAGCGUUGUCCGGAAUUAUUGGGCGUAAAGCGCGCGCAGGCGGUUUUUAAGGUCUGAUGUGAAAGCCCGCGGGCUCAACCGUGGAGGGUCAUUGGAAACUGGAGAACUUGAGUACAGAAGAGGAAAGCGGAAUUCCACGUGUAGCGGUGAAAUGCGUAGAGAUGUGGAGGAACACCAGUGGCGAAGGCGGCUUUCUGGUCUGUAACUGACGCUGAGGCGCGAAAGCGUGGGGAGCAAACAGGAUUAGAUACCCUGGUAGUCCACGCCGUAAACGAUGAGUGCUAAGUGUUAGGGGGUUUCCGCCCCUUAGUGCUGCAGCUAACGCAUUAAGCACUCCGCCUGGGGAGUACGGCCGCAAAGGCUG